GCCGGGCGUGGUGGCGGGUGCCUGUAGUCCCAGCUACUCAGGAGGCUGAGGCAGGAGAAUCGCUUGAACCCGGGAAGCGGAGGUUGCAGUGAGCCAAGAUCGCACCACUGCACUCUAGCCUGGGUGACAGAGUGAGACUCUGUCUCAA
Molecule: non-coding RNA, 148 nt
Filed under: Nomascus leucogenys (northern white-cheeked gibbon)
Lineage: Eukaryota; Metazoa; Chordata; Mammalia; Primates; Hylobatidae
Source: Rfam by way of RNAcentral